RNAcentral lists this ribosomal RNA (468 nucleotides) under uncultured bacterium. RNAcentral's name for it is "partial 16S ribosomal RNA". It matches the Rfam family "Bacterial small subunit ribosomal RNA", at positions 28 to 507 of the family's 1533-position model. The record is from RNAcentral.
GACGAACGCUGGCGGCGUGCUUAACACAUGCAAGUCGAACGGAAAGGCCCUGCUUUUGUGGGGUUCUCGAGUGGCGAACGGGUGAGUAACACGUGAGUAACCUGCCCUUGACUUUGGGAUAACUUUAGGAAACUGGGGCUAAUACCGGAUAUGAGCUCCUGCUGCAUGGUGGGGGUUGGAAAGUUUCGGCGGUUGGGGAUGGACUCGCGGCUUAUCAGCUUGUUUGUGGGGUAGUGGCUUACCAAGGCUUUGACGGGUAGCCGGCCUGAGAGGGGUACCGGCCACCUUGGGACUGAGAUACGGCCCAGACUCCUACGGGAGGCAGCAGUGGGGAAUAUUGCACAAUGGGCGGAAGCCUGAUGAAGCAACGCCGCGUGCGGGAUGACGGCCUUCGGGUUGUAAACCGCUUUCGCCUGUGACGAAGCGUGAGUGACGGUAAUGAGUAAAGAAGCACCGGCUAACUACGUG